GACGAACGCUGGCGGCGUGCCUAAUACAUGCAAGUCGAGCGGACGAAUCGAAAGCUUGCUUUUGAUUCGUUAGCGGCGGACGGGUGAGUAACACGUGGGCAACCUGCCCUGUAGACGGGGAUAACACCGAGAAAUCGGUGCUAAUACCGGAUAACACGAAAUGUCGCAUGACGUUUCGUUGAAAGACGGCGCAAGCUGCCGCUACAGGAUGGGCCCGCGGCGCAUUAGCUAGUUGGUGAGGUAACGGCUCACCAAGGCGACGAUACGUAGCCGACCUGAGAGGGUGAUCGGCCACACUGGGACUGAGACACGGCCCAGACUCCUACGGGAGGCAGCAGUAGGGAAUCUUCCGCAAUGGACGAAAGUCUGACGGAGCAACGCCGCGUGAGCGAAGAAGGCCUUCGGGUCGUAAAGCUCUGUUGUUAGGGAAGAACAAGUAACGCAGUAACUGGCGUUACCGUGACGGUACCUAACGAGAAAGCCACGGCUAACUACGU
This 497-nucleotide ribosomal RNA is filed under the name uncultured bacterium. RNAcentral describes it as "partial 16S ribosomal RNA". It matches the Rfam family "Bacterial small subunit ribosomal RNA", at positions 28 to 506 of the family's 1533-position model. The record is from RNAcentral.